CAGCAGCCGCGGUAAAACGGAGGGGGCUAGCGUUGUUCGGAAUUACUGGGCGUAAAGCGCACGUAGGCGGCUUGGUAAGUUAGAGGUGAAAGCCUGGAGCUCAACUCCAGAAUUGCCUUUAGGACUGCCGAGCUAGCAGGUGAGAGAGGUAAGUGGAAUUCCGAGUGUAGAGGUGAAAUUCGUAGAUAUUCGGAAGAACACCAGUGGCGAAGGCGGCUUACUGGCUCAUACUGGACGCUGAGGUGCGAAAGCGUGGGGAGCAAACAGGAUUAGAUACCCCCGUAGUCCCUGUCUCUUAUAC
RNAcentral lists this ribosomal RNA (301 nucleotides) under uncultured bacterium. Its description in RNAcentral is "partial 16S ribosomal RNA". It matches the Rfam family "Bacterial small subunit ribosomal RNA", at positions 509 to 807 of the family's 1533-position model. The record is from RNAcentral.